UACGUAGGGGGCAAGCGUUGUCCGGAUUUAUUGGGCGUAAAAGGCUUGUAGGUGGCCACGCCAAGUCGGAUGUGAAAUCUCCCGGCUCAACUGGGAGGGGUCAUUCGAUACUGGCGGGCUCGAGGCCGGUAGGGGGAAGUGGAAUUCCCGGUGUAGUGGUGGAAUGCGUAGAUAUCGGGAGGAGCACCAGUGGCGAAGGCGGCUUCCUGGACCGGUUCUGACACUGAGGAGCGAAAGCGUGGGGAGCGAUCCGG
RNAcentral lists this ribosomal RNA (254 nucleotides) under uncultured bacterium. Its description in RNAcentral is "partial 16S ribosomal RNA". It matches the Rfam family "Bacterial small subunit ribosomal RNA", at positions 524 to 776 of the family's 1533-position model. The record is from RNAcentral.